This 433-nucleotide ribosomal RNA is filed under the name uncultured bacterium. Its description in RNAcentral is "partial 16S ribosomal RNA". It matches the Rfam family "Bacterial small subunit ribosomal RNA", at positions 29 to 507 of the family's 1533-position model. The record is from RNAcentral.
AACGAACGCUGGCGGCAGGCCUAACACAUGCAAGUCGAGCGGACCCUUCGGGGUUAGCGGCGGACGGGUGAGUAACGCGUGGGAAUAUGCCCUUCUCUACGGAAUAGUCCUGGGAAACUGGGGGUAAUACCGUAUACGCCCUUUGGGGGAAAGAUUUAUCGGGGAAGGAUUAGCCCGCGUUGGAUUAGGUAGUUGGUGGGGUAAUGGCCUACCAAGCCGACGAUCCAUAGCUGGUUUGAGAGGAUGAUCAGCCACACUGGGACUGAGACACGGCCCAGACUCCUACGGGAGGCAGCAGUGGGGCAUCUUAGACAAUGGGGGCAACCCUGAUCUAGCCAUGCCGCGUGAGUGAUGAAGGCCUUAGGGUUGUAAAGCUCUUUCAGCUGGGAAGAUAAUGACGGUACCAGCAGAAGAAGCCCCGGCUAACUCCGUG